RNAcentral lists this ribosomal RNA (253 nucleotides) under uncultured bacterium. RNAcentral's name for it is "partial 16S ribosomal RNA". It matches the Rfam family "Bacterial small subunit ribosomal RNA", at positions 524 to 776 of the family's 1533-position model. The record is from RNAcentral.
UACGGGGGGGGCAAGCGUUGUUCGGAAUUACUGGGCGUAAAGGGCUCGUAGGUGGCCAACUAAGUCAGACGUGAAAUCCCUCGGCUUAACCGGGGAACUGCGUCUGAUACUGGAUGGCUUGAGUUUGGGAGAGGGAUGCGGAAUUCCAGGUGUAGCGGUGAAAUGCGUAGAUAUCUGGAGGAACACCGGUGGCGAAGGCGGCAUCCUGGACUACUACUGACGCUGAGGAGCGAAAGCCAGGGGAGCAAACGGG